Molecule: long non-coding RNA, 506 nt
Filed under: Nicotiana tabacum (common tobacco)
Lineage: Eukaryota; Viridiplantae; Streptophyta; Magnoliopsida; Solanales; Solanaceae
Description: long non-coding RNA (NTAB_LNC004505)
Source: RNAcentral
UAAUUCUCAUAUAGGGCAAAAAUCACGUGCUUACAGGGUUUUAAACCCUAAAUUAAACUUUUCCAUUCAGUCAGCAUUAGGGUUUUAAACCCUAAACUGAACUCUUUCCAGCCAGUCAGUAUUAGGGUUUUAAACCCUAAACUAAACUUUUCCUUUAGUCAGCAUUAGGGUUUUAAACCCUAAACUGAACUCUUUCCUUCAGUCAGUAUUAGGGUAUUAAACCCUGAACUGAACUUUUUCCAUUCAGUCAGCAUUAGGGUUUUAAACCCUAAAUUGAACUCUUUCCAGCCAGACAGUAUUAGGGUUUUAAACCCUAAACUGAACUUUCCCUUUAGUCAGCAUUAGGGUUUUAAACCCUAAACUGAACUCUUUCCUUCAGUCAGCAUUAGGGUUUUAAACCCUAAACUAAUCUUUUUCCAUUCAGUCAGCAUUAGGGUUUUAAACCCUAAACUGAACUUUUUCCUUUAGUCAGCAUUAGGGUUUUAAUCCCUAAACUGGACUUUUUC